This 486-nucleotide ribosomal RNA is filed under the name uncultured Desulfocapsa sp. RNAcentral describes it as "bacterial SSU rRNA". It matches the Rfam family "Bacterial small subunit ribosomal RNA", at positions 897 to 1382 of the family's 1533-position model. The record is from RNAcentral. Lineage: Bacteria; Pseudomonadati; Thermodesulfobacteriota; Desulfobulbia; Desulfobulbales; Desulfocapsaceae.
AAACUUAAAUGAAUUGACGGGGGCCCGCACAAGCGGUGGAGCAUGUGGUUUAAUUCGACGCAACGCGAAGAACCUUACCAGGGCUUGACAUCCCCUGACCGCGUAUGAAAGUACGUUUUCACCCUCGGGUGACAGGGAGACAGGUGGUGCAUGGUUGUCGUCAGCUCGUGUCGCGAGAUGCUGGGUUAAGUCCCGCAACGAGCGCAACCCCUAUCUUUAGUUGCCAUCAUUGAGUUGGGCACUCUAAAGAGGCUGCCGGUGUCAAACCGGAGGAAGGUGGGGAUGACGUCAAGUCCUCAUGGCCUUUAUGACCAGGGCUACACACGUACUACAAUGGCCGGUACAAAGGGCAGCGACACAGCGAUGUGAAGCGAAUCCCGAAAAGCCGGUCUCAGUCCGGAUUGGAGUCUGCAGCUCGACUCCAUGAAGUUGGAAUCGCUAGUAAUCGCGGAUCAGCACGCCGCGGUGAAUACGUUCCCGGGCCUU